AUUGAACGCUGGCGGCAGGCCUAACACAUGCAAGUCGAACGGUAACAGGAAGAAGCUUGCUUCUUUGCUGACGAGUGGUGGACGGGUGAGUAAUGUCUGGGAAACUGCCUGAUGGAGGGGGAUAACUACUGGAAACGGUAGCUAAUACCGCAUAACGUCGCAAGACCAAAGAGGGGGACCUUCGGGCCUCUUGCCAUCGGAUGUGCCCAGAUGGGAUUAGCUAGUAGGUGGGGUAACGGCUCACCUAGGCGACGAUCCCUAGCUGGUCUGAGAGGAUGACCAGCCACACUGGAACUGAGACACGGUCCAGACUCCUACGGGAGGCAGCAGUGGGGAAUAUUGCACAAAGGGCGCAAGCCUGAUGCAGCCAUGCCGCGUGUAUGAAGAAGGCCUUCGGGUUGUAAAGUACUUUCAGCGGGGAGGAAGGGAGUAAAGUUAAUACCUUUGCUCAUUGACGUUACCCGCAGAAGAAGCACCGGCUAACUCCGUG
Molecule: ribosomal RNA, 490 nt
Filed under: uncultured bacterium
Lineage: Bacteria
Description: partial 16S ribosomal RNA
Rfam family: Bacterial small subunit ribosomal RNA
Source: RNAcentral